This 87-nucleotide transfer RNA is filed under the name Gemmatimonadota bacterium. RNAcentral describes it as "Gemmatimonadetes bacterium (sediment metagenome) tRNA-Ser". It matches the Rfam family "tRNA". From Rfam's summary of the family: Transfer RNA (tRNA) molecules are approximately 80 nucleotides in length. Their secondary structure includes four short double-helical elements and three loops (D, anti-codon, and T loops). The record is from RNAcentral. Lineage: Bacteria; Pseudomonadati; Gemmatimonadota.
GGACAGGUGGCCGAGUGGCUGAAGGCGCCGGUCUCGAAAACCGGUAUACCGGCAACGGUAUCGAGGGUUCGAAUCCCUCCCUGUCCG